GUGAGAGUGGGAGGGGGAAGGGAGCAGGGGACCAGGCCCUGGGAGAGGAGACUCUCAGGGAGGUAGAAGUCCCUGGAUGAGGGGAGAGAGGGCACUCCAGGGCUAACGUUCAGGGAGUGGGAAGGAACAGAAGGUUAGAAGAGGAAGCAUCUAGGGGGUCCUCAUUUCACAACCUCCAAAAUGCAGCACGUGGGGCCAGUGGGUGGGCAGGGGUGGUUUGGAGGCACCUGGCAAAUGGGUCUUACCCCUUCCUCCUCCAGCCCCUUCCCAUCAAGCCCCGCCCCUUUCAGCUUUCCAAGUCCUCUGCUAUCCCCGGUUGACUCCAGCCUUGACCCUCCCGUGCUGUCUGUCAUAAUUACUCCCCUCUGCCCUUUUAUCCGUAAACUCCACCCCUAGUGACAGACAGCAGGGCCUCAGGGGUUUGAGAGGAUGAAGGGGACCUCUUAGCCACUCCUCCCCUCCCUCCCUCACACACACACACACACACACACACACACACACACACUGUGUAGGCUGCCAGGCAUAUGGCCCCUUUGUACCCACACAAUGGAGACCCUGCCUGUGCCCCUUUCAUCUGGGCACAGCGCUCCUCUCCCUCUUUCACUCACCUUCCUUCCUUCCCAGUGCGGUGCUGGCCUUCUUUGCCUUCUCUUUCUGACUCUUGCUUUCUUAUGUCCUUUCCAUAAGCUCUUGAAAUCUGAUUGAGUGAGGAUUGGAGGCAGGAGAAAGAAGCUGACAGGAAGGUCACAAUCCCUGAAUGCUAGUUUGCCAGAGAGAAGCGGGAAGAGAGCAGAGAGGGAGCUGGGGAGAAGGGAGGUGGUGUGGUGGCCACAGCAGAACCAGCAGCGUUGUGCCGGAGGGGAGAGAAUGCCCUGUGGCCUAGCCCCAUCCUCGACUUUUAUGCUUUGUGCCAUAAUGAGCAAAGCACGUGCCUCCCUGCGCCUCAACUUCCUCCUCUGCAGCAUGUGAAGGCUGUGAAUUCCAUAUCUGGUCAAGAUACUAAGGAUUCCUCUUUCUAAGCAGUGAAGCUGGGGAAGGGCCCUACUUUUCACCAAAAUUGAAGACCUAACCUUUGCCACUCUGGUA
Molecule: long non-coding RNA, 1086 nt
Organism: Bos taurus (domestic cattle)
Lineage: Eukaryota; Metazoa; Chordata; Mammalia; Artiodactyla; Bovidae
Source: Ensembl